UACGUAGGGGGCUAGCGUUGUCCGGAUUUAUUGGGCGUAAAGAGCGUGUAGGCGGCCAUGUAGGUCCGGUGUGAAAACUCGAGGCUUAACCUCGAGAUGUCAUCGGAAACCAUUUGGCUAGAGUCCGGAAGAGGAGAGUGGAAUUCCUGGUGUAGCGGUGAAAUGCGCAGAUAUCAGGAGGAACACCCGUGGCGAAAGCGGCUCUCUGGGACGGUACUGACGCUGAGACGCGAAAGCGUGGGGAGCGAACAGG
RNAcentral lists this ribosomal RNA (253 nucleotides) under uncultured bacterium. Its description in RNAcentral is "partial 16S ribosomal RNA". It matches the Rfam family "Bacterial small subunit ribosomal RNA", at positions 524 to 776 of the family's 1533-position model. The record is from RNAcentral.